This 1146-nucleotide ribosomal RNA is filed under the name Triticum aestivum (bread wheat). RNAcentral's name for it is "partial small subunit ribosomal RNA". The record is from RNAcentral. Lineage: Eukaryota; Viridiplantae; Streptophyta; Magnoliopsida; Poales; Poaceae.
AUGGCGUCGGUAGUAACAGUAAUAGUAUUACUCCUAGUGGUGUCUGCCGGAGCCGGAGCCGGAGCAGCAGCCAGUCCGCCGAUUGGGAUGCCCGGCUGUGUCACGACGUGCGGCGGCGUGGAGGUGCCAUACCCGUUCGGCAUUGGCCCGGACCCCAGCUGCUUCCUGCACCAGCCGGGGUUUAACCUCACCUGCGACCAGAGCCACCACCCCCCACGGCUGCUCCUCCUCCUCCCCGGCGCCGAUGGCAAAGACCAGCGUCUCCAGAUCAAGCACAUAGACUCAUUUUCCCUAAUGGAGUUGGUCCGCGACGUCGACUUAAGCACGAGCUGGUCCGACGAUAUAAGCCUGAGGGGGCCCUUCAUGCCGUCCAAUGGCAACGAGCUCAUCCUCACCGGCUGCAACGUGCGGUCGGCGCUGCUGCGGAGGAGCAGGAACAAGGGCAACUCCACUACUGCCACCGUGAAGCCCAUGACAAUAAGCGGCUGCUACUCCUUCUGCAGCGCCCCUGAGCGAGGCGACGGCCCCCAGUUCGACCGCGGAUGCUCCGGUGCCGAUGGCUGCUGCCGUGCUCCCAUCCUCAUCGACGAAAUAUUACUAGCUCCGGUAGGGCUGUACAGCCUGGAGUUCAGCUGGUUCGGCAGGAAUGUGAGCGCGGACCAGGCGCGAGCACCCGCGCGCGCAUUCAUCGCGGAGGAAGGCUGGUUCGACUACUGGCUCUCCAAUUACUCCAACUCCAAGUCCCAACACAGUAGCGCAACACUACUGGAUGUUCCCGUUUAUCUAAGGUAUGACAUCAGUGGCAGCUGCGCGAACAACCCAUGCAAAAGCAACCACAGCACCUGCGUCGACACCCUCACCACAGGAUCAUAUGCAUGCCACUGCCGAUCUGAUGAGGGUUACACAGGCAACGCCUACGUCCCCGGCGGCUGCCAAGUUGUUGUUGACGGGUGCGAGCUGCCACAGGACAUCACCAAGUGCUACGGUGAGUGUAGCUACGUAGGCGGAUCAAUAGUGUGCCGGUGCCCGCCAGGAACUCAGGGAAAUCAUGCUGUACCCGGUGGAUGCGUCGAUUCUACUCUCGCUAGCAGUGGUAAGCAAACUCGACCAGCCACAUGGAACAUAUCUUAUUUAUCCAUAAGAUAG